CCUACGGGUGGCAGCAGUGGGGAAUAUUGCGCAAUGGGCGAAAGCCUGACGCAGCGACGCCGCGUGAGGGAUGAAGGUCUUCGGAUCGUAAACCUCUGUCAGCAGGGAAGAACGGUCACUGUGCUAAUCAGCAGUGAAUUGACGGUACCUGCAAAGGAAGGACCGGCUAACUCCGUGCCAGCAGCCGCGGUAAUACGGAGGGUGGGGGCGUUAAUCGGAAUUACUGGGCGUAAAGGGCUCGUAGGCGGUAUGUCAAGUCAAGGGUGAAAUCCCCGGGCUCAACGUGGGAACUGCCUUGGAAACUGGCUAGCUGGAGUGUGUGAGAGGAUAGUGGAAUUCCAGGUGUAGGAGUGAAAUGCGUAGAUAUCUGGAGGAACAUCAGUGGCGAAGGCGACUAUCUGGCACAUAACUGACGCUGAGGAGCGAAGGCGUGGGUAGCAAACAGGAUUAGAUACCCCUGUAGUC
RNAcentral lists this ribosomal RNA (465 nucleotides) under uncultured bacterium. RNAcentral's name for it is "partial 16S ribosomal RNA". It matches the Rfam family "Bacterial small subunit ribosomal RNA", at positions 338 to 795 of the family's 1533-position model. The record is from RNAcentral.